This 441-nucleotide ribosomal RNA is filed under the name Agrobacterium tumefaciens. RNAcentral describes it as "bacterial SSU rRNA". It matches the Rfam family "Bacterial small subunit ribosomal RNA", at positions 1 to 497 of the family's 1533-position model. Lineage: Bacteria; Pseudomonadati; Pseudomonadota; Alphaproteobacteria; Hyphomicrobiales; Rhizobiaceae. The record is from RNAcentral.
UAGAGUUUGAUCCUGGCUCAGAACGAACGCUGGCGGCAGGCUUAACACAUGCAAGUCGAACGCCCCGCAAGGGGAGUGGCAGACGGGUGAGUAACGCGUGGGAACAUACCCUUUCCUGCGGAAUAGCUCCGGGAAACUGGAAUUAAUACCGCAUACGCCCUACGGGGGAAAGAUUUAUCGGGGAAGGAUUGGCCCGCGUUGGAUUAGCUAGUUGGUGGGGUAAAGGCCUACCAAGGCGACGAUCCAUAGCUGGUCUGAGAGGAUGAUCAGCCACAUUGGGACUGAGACACGGCCCAAACUCCUACGGGAGGCAGCAGUGGGGAAUAUUGGACAAUGGGCGCAAGCCUGAUCCAGCCAUGCCGCGUAAGUGAUGAAGGCCUUAGGGUUGUAAAGCUCUUUCACCGAUGAAGAUAAUGACGGUAGUCGAGAAGAAGCCCCGAU